RNAcentral lists this long non-coding RNA (296 nucleotides) under Gossypium raimondii (Peruvian cotton). RNAcentral describes it as "long non-coding RNA (GRAI_LNC007896)". The record is from RNAcentral. Lineage: Eukaryota; Viridiplantae; Streptophyta; Magnoliopsida; Malvales; Malvaceae.
AGCAGAAAUAUUAAAUUCCAAAAUCCAGGAGGACUGAAACUACAAUUACACCUAUAUCCACACGUAAAAUUACACAUGGACAACAUAUUUUCUAUAAAAAGAAUAAAUACUAAAACAAGGCAAUGGUAUUAUUUUAUUUAUCAAAUUGAAAUUAAAAUAAGAGAAUCGAAAAUCUAGCAAGGAGGCCGUAAAGAGGGAACCCACCAAAUUGAUAGCUAUAGAUUAUACUUGAAAGAUCCUUUUUUAAUGGAAUAUAUAUUUCUCUCACAGGUCGACAUUAUUGCAUAGAUUGGCAU